This is a non-coding RNA of Nelumbo nucifera (sacred lotus), 299 nucleotides long. Lineage: Eukaryota; Viridiplantae; Streptophyta; Magnoliopsida; Proteales; Nelumbonaceae. The record is from RefSeq and is a predicted model, not a curated record.
AAGAGAAAAAGGGGAGCUGUUGAGAUCUCACCUUCUCAGGGAAGGGAAUCUUCCUUGCUUCUCAUCAGGGUUGUUGUCUCCCAACCCAACCUUUCCAUGUGGCUGGCCUUUCGUAAUAUAUUCAAGGUUCAGAAGAAAAGGAAGUAGGCGUUGAUGAUCUUCCGGGCUACUUCUUGAGGCAAAGAAGAGCACCGCCGCUGCCCCUUGCUUCUCUGCUCACCGCUGCAACUCCAACCACAGCUUCUUGCUUCACCACUCGCCACUGCAACUCCGACCACUACUGCAUCGAACUGUCGGCG